ACGAACGCUGGCGGCGUGCUUAACACAUGCAAGUCGAACGGAAAGGCCCUUCGGGGUACUCGAGUGGCGAACGGGUGAGUAACACGUGGGUGAUCUGCCCUGCACUUUGGGAUAAGCCUGGGAAACUGGGUCUAAUACCGAAUAGGACCACGGUCUGCAUGGAUUGUGGUGGAAAGCUUUUGCGGUGUGGGAUGGGCCCGCGGCCUAUCAGCUUGUUGGUGAGGUUACGGCUCACCAAGGCGACGACGGGUAGCCGGCCUGAGAGGGUGUCCGGCCACACUGGGACUGAGAUACGGCCCAGACUCCUACGGGAGGCAGCAGUGGGGAAUAUUGCACAAUGGGCGCAAGCCUGAUGCAGCGACGCCGCGUGAGGGAUGACGGCCUUCGGGUUGUAAACCUCUUUCGCCAGGGACGAAGCGCAAGUGACGGUACCUGGAGAAGAAGCACCGGCCAACUACGUGCCAGCAGCCGCGGUAAUACGUAGGGUGCGAGCGUUGUCCGGAAUUACUGGGCGUAAAGAGCUCGUAGGUGGUUUGUCGCGUUGUUCGUGAAAACUCACAGCUUAACUGUGGGCGUGCGGGCGAUACGGGCAGACUGGAGUACUGCAGGGGAGACUGGAAUUCCUGGUGUAGCGGUGGAAUGCGCAGAUAUCAGGAGGAACACCGGUGGCGAAGGCGGGUCUCUGGGCAGUAACUGACGCUGAGGAGCGAAAGCGUGGGGAGCGAACAGGAUUAGAUACCCUGGUAGUCCACGCCGUAAACGGUGGGUACUAGGUGUGGGUUUCCUUCCUUGGGAUCCGUGCCGUAGCUAACGCAUUAAGUACCCNGCCUGGGGAGUACGGCCGCAAGGCUAAAACUCAAAGGAAUUGACGGGGGCCNGCACAAGCGGCGGAGCAUGUGGAUUAAUUCGAUGCAACGCGAAGAACCUUACCUGGGUUUGACAUGCACAGGACGCCGGCAGAGAUGUCGGUUCCCUUGUGGCCUGUGUGCAGGUGGUGCAUGGCUGUCGUCAGCUCGUGUCGUGAGAUGUUGGGUUAAGUCCCGCAACGAGCGCAACCCUUGUCUCAUGUUGCCAGCACGUAAUGGUGGGGACUCGUGAGAGACUGCCGGGGUCAACUCGGAGGAAGGUGGGGAUGACGUCAAGUCAUCAUGCCCCUUAUGUCCAGGGCUUCACACAUGCUACAAUGGCCGGUACAAAGGGCUGCGAUGCCGUGAGGUGGAGCGAAUCCUUUCAAAGCCGGUCUCAGUUCGGAUCGGGGUCUGCAACUCGACCCCGUGAAGUCGGAGUCGCUAGUAAUCGCAGAUCAGCAACGCUGCG
This 1317-nucleotide ribosomal RNA is filed under the name Mycolicibacterium chlorophenolicum. RNAcentral's name for it is "bacterial SSU rRNA". It matches the Rfam family "Bacterial small subunit ribosomal RNA", at positions 29 to 1361 of the family's 1533-position model. Lineage: Bacteria; Bacillati; Actinomycetota; Actinomycetes; Mycobacteriales; Mycobacteriaceae. The record is from RNAcentral.